RNAcentral lists this transfer RNA (94 nucleotides) under Candidatus Aminicenantota bacterium. RNAcentral describes it as "Candidatus Aminicenantes bacterium (hot springs metagenome) tRNA-Ser". It matches the Rfam family "tRNA". From Rfam's summary of the family: Transfer RNA (tRNA) molecules are approximately 80 nucleotides in length. The record is from RNAcentral. Lineage: Bacteria; Candidatus Aminicenantota.
GGAGAGAUGUCCGAGUGGCUUAAGGAGCACGACUGGAAAUCGUGUACCCCGACUAAAAUCGGGGUCGUGGGUUCGAAUCCCACUCUCUCCGCCA